This 150-nucleotide unclassified non-coding RNA is filed under the name fungal sp. Its description in RNAcentral is "partial internal transcribed spacer region". The stretch from base 1 to 46 matches the Rfam family "Eukaryotic small subunit ribosomal RNA", at positions 1786 to 1831 of the family's 1831-position model. Lineage: Eukaryota; Fungi. The record is from RNAcentral.
AAGUCGUAACAAGGUAACCGUAGGUGAACCUGCGGUUGGAUCAUUAAUAAAUCUAGAAGACCUUCAAGGUCUCUCUAACGUUUAAUUUCAGUGUAUAACUUUUAAUGAAAAAUUAAAAACAACUUUUGACAACGGAUCUCUAGGCUCUCA